Molecule: non-coding RNA, 88 nt
Organism: Lepraria neglecta
Lineage: Eukaryota; Fungi; Ascomycota; Lecanoromycetes; Lecanorales; Stereocaulaceae
Source: the annotation of a GenBank genome assembly
GCCCGAAUAGCUCAGCGGUUAGAGCGAGAGAUUGCAGUUAUAAUUUUCUACUAUCUCUAGGUCCAUCGUUCGAAUCGGUGUUCGGGCU